RNAcentral lists this transfer RNA (64 nucleotides) under Microsepsis sp. ACMJ-2016. Its description in RNAcentral is "tRNA-Cys". The record is from RNAcentral. Lineage: Eukaryota; Metazoa; Arthropoda; Insecta; Diptera; Sepsidae.
GGCUUUAUAGUCAAUAAUGAUAUUAGACUGCAAUUCUAAAGGAGUAAUAUAUUUACUAAGGCUU